GACGAACGCUGGCGGCGUGCCUAAUACAUGCAAGUUGAGCGCUGAAGGUUGGUACUUGUACCAACUGGAUGAGCAGCGAACGGGUGAGUAACGCGUGGGGAAUCUGCCUUUGAGCGGGGGACAACAUUUGGAAACGAAUGCUAAUACCGCAUAAAAACUUUAAACACAAGUUUUAAGUUUGAAAGAUGCAAUUGCAUCACUCAAAGAUGAUCCCGCGUUGUAUUAGCUAGUUGGUGAGGUAAAGGCUCACCAAGGCGAUGAUACAUAGCCGACCUGAGAGGGUGAUCGACCCAAUUGGGACUGAGACACGGCCCAAACCCCUACGGGAGGCAGCAGUAGGGAAUCUUCGGCAAUGGACGAAAGUCUGACCGAGCAACGCCGCGGGAGUGAAGAAGGGUUUCGGAUCGUAAAACUCUGUUGGUAGAGAAGAACGUUGGUGAGAGUGGAAAGCUCAUCAAGUGACGGUAACUACCCAGAAAGGGACGGCUAACUACGUG
This 497-nucleotide ribosomal RNA is filed under the name uncultured bacterium. RNAcentral describes it as "partial 16S ribosomal RNA". It matches the Rfam family "Bacterial small subunit ribosomal RNA", at positions 28 to 507 of the family's 1533-position model. The record is from RNAcentral.